CUUCGAUUUUACCCCAAAAAAUCCAAAUUUUGGGGGUUUAAAGUCCGUUUUUUUCACCUUAAAAACGACAAUUUUGGGGUUUCCGGGUCCAUUUUCUGCCCCAAAAAUCCAAAUUUUGGGGUUUUUUGAGUCCCGUUUUUCACCCAAAAAAUGAAAUUUUUGGGCCAUUUUCGAGUCCGUUUUUUGGCAGAUUUUGGGGUCUCCGGCUCCCGUUUUUCACCCAAAAAAAAAUUGAAUUUUUGGGCCUUUUUUAAACCCAUUUUUUGCAGCUUUUGGGCCUUUUUUUGAGUCCGUUUUUCACCCAAAAAAUGAAAUUUUUGGGCCUUUUUGAGUCCAUUUUUUUCCCCAUUUUUUGCAGAUUUUGGGUCAUUUUUGAGUCCAUUUUUCACCCAAAAAAUUGAAAUUUUUGGGCCUUUCUCGAGUCCAUUUUUUGGCAAAUUUUGGGAUUUUUUUUCCUCCAUUUUUUGCAGAUUUUUGGCCUUUUUUUGAGUCCAUUUUUCACCCAAAAAACGACAUUUUUGGGCCUUUUUAAACUCCUUUUUUUCUCCAUUUCUUUUGCAGAUUUUGGGGUUUUUGAGUCCAUUUUUUGCCCCAUUUUGUGGCGAUUUUGGGGUUUUUUUCUCCAUUUUCCCCCCAUUUUUUGAAGAUUUUGGGUUUUUUUGAGUCCAUUUUUGACGAUUUUGGGGUUUCUGGUUCCGUUUUUUCCCCAAUUUUGGGGUUUUUGAGUCCAUUUUUCCCCAAUUUUGGGUUUUUUCCUCCGUUUUUUGCAGUUUUUGGGGUUUCUGAGUCCAUUUUCCCCCAAUUUUGGGGUUUUUUGGGUCCAUUUUUUGCAGUUUUUGGGGUUUCUGAGUCCAUUUUCCCCCAAUUUUGGGGUUUUUGGGUCCGUUUUUUGCAGUUUUUGGGGUUUCUGGUUCCGUUUUGGCCCCGAUUUUGGGGUUUUUUGGGGCAUUUCUGCCUUCGGGGGGUGCCCGGCGGUUCCGGAAGGUUCCGAGGCCGGGGGGGGUUCCGGAAGGUUCCGCUGGGUGCCC
Molecule: long non-coding RNA, 1028 nt
Filed under: Serinus canaria (Common canary)
Lineage: Eukaryota; Metazoa; Chordata; Aves; Passeriformes; Fringillidae
Description: lncRNA (ENSSCAG00000001317.1)
Source: RNAcentral